Molecule: ribosomal RNA, 915 nt
Filed under: uncultured bacterium
Lineage: Bacteria
Description: bacterial SSU rRNA
Rfam family: Bacterial small subunit ribosomal RNA
Source: RNAcentral
AGAGUUUGAUCCUGGCUCAGAUUGAACGCUGGCGGCAGGCUUAACACAUGCAAGUCGAGCGGGGAAUGGUAGCUUGCUACCUGACCUAGCGGCGGACGGGUGAGUAAUGCUUAGGAAUCUGCCUAUUAGUGGGGGACAACAUUCCGAAAGGAAUGCUAAUACCGCAUACGCCCUACGGGGGAAAGCAGGGGAUCUUCGGACCUUGCGCUAAUAGAUGAGCCUAAGUCAGAUUAGCUAGUUGGUGGGGUAAAGGCCUACCAAGGCGACGAUCUGUAGCGGGUCUGAGAGGAUGAUCCGCCACACUGGGACUGAGACACGGCCCAGACUCCUACGGGAGGCAGCAGUGGGGAAUAUUGGACAAUGGGCGCAAGCCUGAUCCAGCCAUGCCGCGUGUGUGAAGAAGGCCUUUUGGUUGUAAAGCACUUUAAGCGAGGAGGAGGCUACUUGGAUUAAUACUCUAGGAUAGUGGACGUUACUCGCAGAAUAAGCACCGGCUAACUCUGUGCCAGCAGCCGCGGUAAUACAGAGGGUGCGAGCGUUAAUCGGAUUUACUGGGCGUAAAGCGUGUGUAGGCGGCCUUUUAAGUCGGAUGUGAAAUCCCUGAGCUUAACUUAGGAAUUGCAUUCGAUACUGGGAAGCUAGAGUAUGGGAGAGGAUGGUAGAAUUUCAGGUGUAGCGGUGAAAUGCGUAGAGAUCUGGAGGAAUACCGAUGGCGAAGGCAGCCAUCUGGCCUAAUACUGACGCUGAGGUACGAAAGCAUGGGGAGCAAACAGGAUUAGAUACCCUGGUAGUCCAUGCCGUAAACGAUGUCUACUAGCCGUUGGGGCCUUUGAGGCUUUAGUGGCGCAGCUAACGCGAUAAGUAGACCGCCUGGGGAGUACGGUCGCAAGACUAAAACUCAAAGGAAUUGACGGG